GACUUCUUCAGCCCCAAAUCAAAAGUAACAGCCACAAAAAUUUUCCUCAGCUCCGCUGCUGCGGCAGCAGCAACCCAGCUGACUGCCGGAAAAUCAAGAUUCAGCCUCGGAACCUGAGGUCAGGCGAUCUUCUUCUCCUCCUGUUCAUCAUUUUGCAGCAAGUAUUAUAGGCAACAAUGAAGAUAUCUGAACACAUCUUUUACUUUACUUCCUCCUUCGAUUUCGGUCAGUCUCCAAGCAAUGGCUCUCAAUCAUUUGCAGCCCCAUUUUCAGCAGUCUCCAUUCUGGAUUUUAUUCCUCCACCACCACCACCACCACCACCGCAACUUGUUCCUCCUGUAAAGAUGCUGCGUUCGUUUUGGUUGAACUCGAAAGGGACAGGCUGGAUUUCAUCUCUUUCCUCCAAGACUAUGCAAGUUCAGCGGGUUAAUUUGUGUGAACAUCUCUGAUUAAAAGCUGGCAUCACUCUGAAUCUUAAUGCUGUACCCUACAGUGCUGUAAGAUGGAUGCAUGCAAUCAAGAGGUUUUUCAAUGACAGUGAGAAACCAAGUAUUUGCCUAUCAGCUAGACAGACUUCUGCUCAUUCCUUUGGAGUACAGUUCCAAGGAACAUCAUCAUUGCAUCUUUGCCUUCUCCAGACACCUCACUUGCCAGUACUUUCGUGACAUAUCCUAUGGUUUGUAAAUAUGCCUAGUCUUCCCUUAACGUAUCCAAACUUGUGCAAUCUGUAACUGAUCCUACAGUUACUAAAAUGCUUUUGCUAUCACUCUAGGAAAAUUACUUUAGCCUAAGCUUUCUAAGUUCUGAACAUCAACCUUUCGUCAACUAUCAAAGCAUACAACCAACAUAAUUAUGCGACUGUAAUCUAUAUGUGAUUAUGCCCAGGGUUGCGUGAGGCAAAAUCGCCUAGUAUUUUUUAAUUGCAGGGACUUCCAUUUUGAUUUUAUGAUUAAAUAAACUUUGCCAGUUUUUUCAAAAUUUUUUUUCAAUAAUUUACUGUUAUAACAUUCCAUGUAUAAAUGUAGGAUGCAUUUGGAAUUAUAAAAACCAUUUAUCAUAACUUGAAGUCUGUAGAUUCAGAGAGGAAGUGCUUGCAAUUUGCAUAUUCCUUAUCAAUGGUUAGAAUUUCCUUUCUGGAGACCUUUCACCAUGGAUCGUUUUACAGAAAUCUAGUGGAUUGCUGCUCUUAUAUUUCUAUCCAAUAUGUACAUAUUAAACAAGCAAGGCAGUUGAGUGAGUACGUUAUAAGAUUGGUUUAGUUUUUAAUGAGCUUAAAACUUGAUCUUCAAGUUUCGGUUUCAUGAUUUGAACCAAACUGAAACAAAACUCAAUCUAGCCAUUCUCAAGAGAUUAAGUUGUUUGACUGGGCAUCAUCUUUGAACUUUAUAUUACUCCAUCAUUGGAGCUGGACUAGUUCACAUGUUUUUUGUGUAGAUCAAGAUUUAGGAAACAAUUAAGACCAAUGAAGACUCAAGAACUAUGUGAUGCAUCUAAGUUUAUUAUGCAGUCUUCAAUUUCUAUCAGUGCUUGCCCUGUAUCAACAGCUCAGUCUCAAUCUAAGGCUCAAUAAUACGAAUAUAUUCAAGUAUCACAACACUUUCUUUGUUAAGUUAUACUGUAUUAGUACCAUGUUUGUCUAAUCCAAAUACUAUGAAUUUGGCAUGUUUAAUCCAAAUACAAAACAGCUUUCAAUAGCUUGCUAAAAGAAACCAUGGAAAUCUCUUGUUGGUUCAAAACGCUUUUGCUCACUCAACUCUUCCUGGAACUUCUGAAGUGUUUCAGUUUUUUUUUCCCUUUGAAUUUCAAUGCACAUAGAGACCCUAAUUAGUUCAUGAUGUAUGAUAAGUGAUUAAUUUACGUUAUAUUUGAAUGAUAUUUUAUGUUAUUUUUAGUCACUUUGGUUAUA
Molecule: RNA transcript, 1906 nt
Organism: Coffea arabica (coffee)
Lineage: Eukaryota; Viridiplantae; Streptophyta; Magnoliopsida; Gentianales; Rubiaceae
Source: RefSeq, a predicted model, not a curated record